This 656-nucleotide ribosomal RNA is filed under the name Salmonella enterica. RNAcentral describes it as "partial 23S ribosomal RNA". It matches the Rfam family "Bacterial large subunit ribosomal RNA", at positions 1 to 688 of the family's 2925-position model. Lineage: Bacteria; Pseudomonadati; Pseudomonadota; Gammaproteobacteria; Enterobacterales; Enterobacteriaceae. The record is from RNAcentral.
GGGUUGUGAGGUUAAGCGACUAAGCGUACACGGUGGAUGCCCUGGCAGUCAGAGGCGAUGAAGGGCGUGCUAAUCUGCGAUAAGCGCCGGUAAGGUGAUAUGAACCGUUAUAACCGGCGAUACCCGAAUGGGGAAACCCAGUGUGAUUCGUCACACUAUCAUUAACUGAAUCCAUAGGUUAAUGAGGCGAACCGGGGGAACUGAAACAUCUAAGUACCCCGAGGAAAAGAAAUCAACCGAGAUUCCCUCAGUAGCGGCGAGCGAACGGGGAGGAGCCCAGAGCCUGAAUCAGCAUGUGUGUUAGUGGAAGCGUCUGGAAAGGCGCGCGAUACAGGGUGACAGCCCCGUACACAAAAGCGCAUAUGCUGUGAGCUCGAUGAGUAGGGCGGGACACGUGGUAUCCUGUCUGAAUAUGGGGGGACCAUCCUCCAAGGCUAAAUACUCCUGACUGACCGAUAGUGAACCAGUACCGUGAGGGAAAGGCGAAAAGAACCCCGGCGAGGGGAGUGAAAAAGAACCUGAAACCGUGUACGUACAAGCAGUGGGAGCACAGGUUUACCUGUGUGACUGCGUACCUUUUGUAUAAUGGGUCAGCGACUUAUAUUCUGUAGCAAGGUUAACCGAAUAGGGGAGCCGGAGGGAAACCGAGUCUUAAC